CACAGAGUUAGCCGAUGCUUAUUCCUCAGAUACCGUCAUUGUUUCUUCUCCGAGAAAAGAAGUUGACGACCCGUAGGCCUUCCACCUCCACGCGGCAUUGCUCCGUCAGGCUUUCGCCCAUUGCGGAAAAUUCCCCACUGCUGCCUCCCGUAGGAGUCUGGGCCGUAUCUCAGUCCCAGUGUGGCCGGUCACCCUCUCAGGCCGGCUACCCGUCGUCGCCUUGGUAGGCCAUUACCCCACCAACAAGCUGAUAGGCCGCGGGCCCAUCCCACACCGCAAAAGCUUUCCACCACACACCAUGAAGCGCGUGGUCCUAUUCGGUAUUAGACCCAGUUUCCCAGGCUUAUCCCAAAGUGCAGGGCAGAUCACCCACGUGUUACUCACCCGUUCGCCACUCGAGUACCCCGAAGGGCCUUUCCGUUCGACUUGCAUGUGUUAAGCACGCCGCCAGCGUCGUCCUCGUAGCACGGAGUCGAACUAC
RNAcentral lists this ribosomal RNA (481 nucleotides) under uncultured Actinomycetales bacterium. RNAcentral's name for it is "partial 16S ribosomal RNA". The record is from RNAcentral. Lineage: Bacteria; Bacillati; Actinomycetota; Actinomycetes; Actinomycetales.